GGGCGAGUGGCGGAAUGGUAUACGCGACAGACUUAAAAUCUGUUGUCCCUUACCGGACGUGAGGGUUCGACUCCCUCCUCGCCCACCA
Molecule: transfer RNA, 88 nt
Filed under: candidate division WWE3 bacterium RIFCSPHIGHO2_01_FULL_38_45
Lineage: Bacteria; candidate division WWE3
Also listed under: 5 other names
Description: tRNA-Leu
Rfam family: tRNA
About the family: Transfer RNA (tRNA) molecules are approximately 80 nucleotides in length.
Source: RNAcentral